UGGAAGAUGCCCCCUCGGGAUGAGCCGAGUUGAGCUGCCAUCUGGAACUCGGAGUUAGCCAGGAUGGGCUGGGUGCAAAUGCCCUCUCCCUUCCCUGCCACUGUUGGGUCCUGGGUCAUCCUGUGCUGAGUGCCUUCAGUGGACAGAGAAUACAAUCCAGGGACUCCUACAGGGCUCAGGCCACACCCUCAGUUUCCUGAGCUCCAGCUCUGAGCAUCCUGCUUGGGACUUUGGGGGCUGUAGACACAGAGCUGGGGUGUGGCAGGGCCAGGUGACACUCCCCCUGCUCCCCAGGAGCUCUUCAGGAAGGUGGUGCCCUCUCAGUGCCUGGGCUCCUCCUGAGGCAAGAGGAUCAAGCUCGGGAAUGAGCACCUGGCACCCACCGUCCGGGCCACCACUGACCACUUCCAGAGGGUAGUCAACUUCAUCACAAUCACCUGCCUAGGGGACCCAAGCAGGACAGCCUCGGACAGGGCCAGGGUGGUGGAACACUGGAUCCAGGUGGCACAGGGAGAGUCUGAAAACUUUAAGGAGCUGUAUACAAAAGACAAAUCCUUGAGCAGACAACUGAUGACCAAAGUAGAGUGGAGGCUGGAGUCUGGAAAGAGAGAAGGGUGAGGUGGGAAGGGGGACGGGGCAGGGUGUGGCUUUGAUAGUUUCUCACUUAAACUUCCUCUGAAAAUUCCAGUCUGUCUUGUCCAGAUUAGCAAGAGGAGGGAUCUCUUUGGUCCACAGGCAGGUGGGCUGAAGUUUGUGGGCAGGGGGCCCUGGUCAUGGGACAUGGUGGUGCUGGCUGGGCUGGCACACAAUCAACACAUCUCUGGCUUCUGUGCAGGUCCCACCUGCUGGACUUAGCUUCUUCCUAAGUGGUUGGGGUGGGUUUAGCCCUCAGCCUAAGCCAGGCCCCCGCCGCUUCUGCUGCCUUCACCAUGCCUCCAAGGGGGGCAGCCCGCCCGCCCCAGGGAUGGGCACAGCAGGGAUUCCCACGGGCCAGGUGGACAAACAGGCUGCUCAGCCUUGGGUCCAAAUGGCUGGACCAGAGACAGAUCCGGGUGUAUUCUGGAACUCGCCACUGGGCCCCUCGAGCAGUCACAGCCAGUCAGUCACAGGAGUCCCACCUGAGUGCCCAGCUGGCAAGGACACAUGUCCCAGGUGGCUGAGGAGAAGUGUCUGGGGACCUGAUGGAUUCUGGAUUCUUAGUGGAUCCUUCCUGAACAGACAUCAGAAGCUUCAUGUAAAUGAGGGAGCAAAGUGUCCUGUCACCCCCUUCCCUGUUGAUCAGAGGUGGCACCUUGGGGUCCACAUCCUGAGUGGAUGAAGAAAGAGUUCUGUUCCAGGGAAUGUCCUGAGGGGCUCCUUAGGAAGUGCAGGCUUUGGCGUGGCCUCCGUUCCAGCCUGGGGGCCAGACUCUCCAGGGCCUGGGCCAGGCAGGAGCCACUCACCCAGGCUCCCAGGACACCCCGCCCUCUCCAUCCACGUCUCGGCCGAGGACACACCUGAGAACUGAGGGCACAGGGCUCCGGUCAGGGGUGGGAUGGGGGUUAGGUGAGCACAUGGGAACAGGGCCUCUGGCUGGGAGGGGCAAGUGGCCUCUCCUCUGUGGCCCUGAGCAGCUCGCUGCCCCUGUUGGGCCUCUGUCUCCUCAUCGGGGAGAUGCAGGGAUGAUGGUCCUGUGGCACAGGCCUCAAGGGGGGUGAUGGGCUAAAAGCGGGGAGAGGAGCAUGCGGAGCUUUCUGCCCUGCUCCCCCUGGAGGGGUGAGGGGAGGGCAGUGAUGACGGUCAUGGCACGAGUCCUCAGAGACCCUGUGAGGGAGGGGAGGACUCACCCUUUCCAGACGAGGAAACAGGCUCAGGGAGGCCAGACCAGGCCACACUUAGAGUGACAGUUGGAGCUGGGCUUGUUCUAGAAUCCUAGCACACUGGAGGUUGGAGUAGCCUUGGUGCCAGCUGGUUGGGGUCAGAUGUCCAGGGUCAAAGGCCGGUGGUGCUGGGGAGAAGUUGGGGGAGGGGAGCAUGGCCUCACUGACUUGUCCUCCAUCCUGGCAGGAGGGGCCCUCCACGUUUGCCACCCUGCAGUACACCCCCAGAGAGUCCAGAGCAUCAGAUGUCACAGGGCGUUGUCCCCUUCUUGGCCUUUCCUUGGUGAUCUGGUGAUGCUGCAUCUGGUGAUGGGUGACUAUCAGGAGGCUGGUGAGGCAGCAAAGCCACCUGAGGGAGGGCACAGCUGUGAGAGGUUUAUGAGCUGGACUCAGCCUCUCCCUCCUGCGGGGCCCACAGUGGGACAGAGAAGUUGGGCCCCUCCAGUCAGGCAGCAGGGGAAGGAGAUCAACCUCGAGAAAAGGACUGAGGACUACAGAGCCAUGAGGGAGAGCCUGCUGCUCCGGAUGGCUGCAAACAAUUACAGGCUAGAGCCCGAGGAGUGAUUUGGGGCCUGGUUCCGGCACAUGGAGCUGCUCAGUGGAAAUGAGAGCUGAGGCCAGCUGGAGUCAGGGGAGGGCAGAGGUCGACUUUCCCUGGUGACCAGUCCAGAGAGCCCAUGUUCAUGGCCCCUGGUCAGCCCCAGGCCUUGUUGCAUGGUAAUCUCUGGGACACCCAGACUCCAGCUACUGGCAGGCAGUGGGGGGACACCUGAGGUGUGGCUCUUGGUCAACUCUCAGUGCCUCUCUGUCCUGUAGCUGCAGCCUGUCCUGCUAGCUGGAGCCCCUAGUCUGGUUGGCCAGCAGAAUACUCAAGGCCGAGAAGAAGGGGUCAUCAUCAAGUUCAGGCACGAGUGUCUAGACUGGUGGUGACUAAAUCCUAGGGGUUUAGUGAAGCUUCAGGCUGAGUGUGGUCUUGGGGAGUCAGACAGCUGGCGCUGGGAGCCCAGCCCCACCACUGACCAGUCCUGUGACUGGGGAGAUUCCCUUCAGCUUCCUGAGACUCAGUUUACUCCUCCGUGAAAUAGGUGAUGGCAAAUGAUCACUCAUGUGGCAGGGACAAACGGGGUACUAUUGGCUGACUGAGCACAGGGCCUGGAGCACAGAGUGCAGUGGGGCUGGGGAGGGGGGCCGUGAUUCUGGGAGAGGCACCUCAAGAUAACCUGACUCUUCUAUUCAGCCACCAGAACCCCAACACUGAGCCCUGUACCACUGGCAGAUCACAGCCCCAUCCUCAGCAGUGGGGACUUGGCUGGGAUGCUUGGCAUGCACUGGGCCAGCUCCUCCUGCCUGAUGGGAAGGGGAGCAUUGUAAGCUGAUUCCUGAUUCCUAGGGUCCCCUGAGACCCGGGAGAGAGGGGACAACCCUGCCCCAUCUGCCUGACAUCUCUACCCCGGCACCUAUUUACCUAUUGAGGAGGGACAAGAUUCAUGAUUGUAAAUAGUAAAUGUUAGAUAUGAAUAUUAUAACAAAAUCUUGUCUCUUUCACAGCCUGGGCGUGGUGGUGUGGUUCUUUCACUUUCUGUGCUCAUGUAAAUCAAACACAGAAUCUCACAUUCCCCCUUGAAUUCAGAAACCUUGCAGAGUCAUCAGCUUAUUGUAUGUGGGAGAAGGGAGAAGGGAGAAGGGAGAAGGGCCAGCCCCUCCUUGGCUAGUGAGGACACUCCCAAGUCCCCCUCACUCAGAGGACAAGUUCAUCUGAGUAUCAUUCACCUGUCCAGGAGCAGAGACAGCCCCCCAGAUCUCCCGGACUUUAGAGGCAGAGCAACAGCCACUGAAAUUGGGGUGUCUUUAAAAAUAGCCUGAGCUGGGACCACCUUGUGCCCCAGAACACUAGCUGCCUUUCUACCCUCUGGAGGAAGAGGAAGCAUCUUUUGCUUGUCCUGUUGAGGUUUCUUUUGACCAGAUAUUAGGAAAGUAGUUUCCUAGUUCAAUUGCUGGAAUUGCAUCAGCUCUAAGUGGGGAAAAUACUGUAAAAAGCUCAAAUGUGCAUGGAGAGGAUGAGGCCAGAGGAAGGUCCUGUGCAGAUGGACUAAGGGCAGGCAGAACUCUCCCUUCUCGGGCCCCUCUAGGGGUUCCCUAUUCACCCUUGACCUAGACUUGAUCCUCCUGGGAUUCUGGUCCAUGACUCUGAAUUCCUUUUCCUGCUUGUUUUCUUUCCAAGGGGAAACAUUUACGAUGCAGCUUUUAGGGCCCCAGCCGUGUCUUCCUCCAUAAACCUGGUGCUCCCUUGAACUGGGAUUUUCAGCAUCCCUGCAUUUCUCAAACAAUUCUUUCUUAGGGCAGAAAUUCCCUAGAUGCCCCCAGCCUUUCUGUCAUAUACAUCGUGGCCACUCCUCCCAGGCUGGGCCUGAUGGAUCCCAGGUGAGCUCUGGUUUGCCAGGAUAACAGACCAUAAUCCCAACCAGAAAUGACCCCACAGUCUCCCUUGCUGCCCAAGUUGGCUUCUGGGCCCAUGUUGUUCUGAGGUCCAUAGUCAUGGACGGUCGACCAGUUUACACACUCAGUGGCGGUCGUACCACUUUAUGUUAAAGGGGCCGCUAGGCCUGAGCCCAUAAAGCAUGUAGCCCUUGGGGUGGCUGUGUUCUUUUCCCAAGUCUCAUGCUACAGUUACAUUAUGGGGGUGUGAGCCUUUCCUGUUGGGAUCUUUGAAAGAUGAGGCAUGAAAGGGAUGUGAGUAGAGUCCAGCAGGGAAUGCCACCAAACCGAUGAUCCGUGGAUGUGUAUGGACACAGCCUUAUCAAGUAAAAUACUGAAAAGCUUCCCAUCUGGGUGAUCAACAGAUAGUACUCUGCGGUCACCCUAAGACCCACCACCCCCCCAUGACCAGGAGCUACAAACACCCCUCAUGACUGGCAUUUUGAACCUCAUCCCUUGGAAACACCCUGAAAGACAAGGGCCAGAUGAUUUGCUUGGCACUUCUGAGUUAUCCUCUCCUUCCUGAUGGCCGCAAGUGUCACUCAGACACACGGAAGGCUGGGCCCUGCCAGGGAGGCCUUCUCAGGACAGCUAGAAGCUGAGGAUAAAUCCUGGUUCCCAGCAGCCGAGGCUCUUUCUGACAUGGAACUGCCAACCAGGAAAGUGAUUUGCUAAAGGAAAGACUAGGAAGGCUGUGCUUUCCCUCCAAAGAGAAAGAGGAGUGCCAGGUCCCAGGGCUGGCCCAGGGCUGGGAGGGAGGCAUUAGUGUCUGAAGGGUUUCUCCUGCAGGACUGUGAGGCUCCUGAGAGGCAGCCCUGUAUGAGUGACAUAUAAGCCCUGUGCCUUCCAUAUGGCAGAGGAGGUACAAUUCAUUGUCUCUGGUCAUCCACUGGCCAAAAGUGCAGACAGUCAUACAGAGGAGUCACCCAUAUUUGCAGUGAGGAUCACCUAUCAAUCUUUUUUUACAUUCUCAGGUCCAAAAUUUGUUUGUUUGUUUUUUUUUUUUGCAUUUUUAUGUUUCUGUUUUUGAACUUCUCAUUUUGUUCUUGUCCCGUUUUCUUCAUUUCCUUACAUUGUUCAGCUCUUGGAGCUGCUUUCAAAUGGUUAUUGUGAUCUCUUCUUCUAUAGUACAUCAAGGAUGUUCCAUUUCAUCCUGUGAUCUCCACAUUUUGGUCCAUGUUAGAGCCAGUUAACUGAUCAGACCGUUAGCACUCUUUGUACCCCUCAAAACACACCAUUGAAUAAAGAACCUCUGGUGAGUGGGACCAAAUCAAUUCAUUCCACCAAAUCAACUGCGUGUUCCUUCCUCCAUUAUCCCAACCCCCUAAUAGCCCGCUUCUUCACAGUUGUCCAUAGGUUUCCAUCUAUGCGACCUUGGAAGAGGAUGCAGCAAUUUGGCAGUGCAGCACAAUUCCUCAUGAGCCCCCUUUUGUACCUCAUGCUUUGGACCUGCUGGGUGCUGAGAGUGGAGUCUAUCUUGAUCAAGUCUUGGUCUUGAAGCCAAGAAGGCUGGUAAAGAAGCUGAGGCUUGGAGAAGCUGAGUAGUUCUGCUGCCAUCUUGGCUACUUCCCCUGCUGUGGGGCGGAGAAAUUGUCCUGAACAUGUCCUCCAGCUGCAUAAGAAGGC
This 5960-nucleotide long non-coding RNA is filed under the name Equus caballus (horse). RNAcentral's name for it is "lncRNA (ENSECAG00000041960.2)". Lineage: Eukaryota; Metazoa; Chordata; Mammalia; Perissodactyla; Equidae. The record is from RNAcentral.